AUGGAAACAUUUUGGUUCAUACCAAAUGAGAGAGACUCCACCCCAAAGAACUGGUUAAGACCUAGCGAUUGGCUGUGAUGAUUUGACAUCAUCAGUGAGCCAAACCAGUAUGGUUGUGGGAAGCAUGUAGGCGGAAAGUGCAGUUCAGUCUGUGACAGCUUGCAGUGCUUUAAGCAAGCCACUAUUUCCUCCUUGAACUGGACUUUACAUAGAUUUAACUUAAUGAAUGUGGUCUGCAUAGCUAGCAAAGACGGUCACGGAGCUCCUCAGCCUAAUGCUUUAAAACAAACUGGGGAAGAAUUUUUCAGAGCUAAUUUUGGUCAUUUUCCGGAAUUUUAAUCUUGAAGAUGAAAACCAUUGUCACUAUCAGUUUGGCACUUCUUUCAGCUCUGAUUGUUGCUGGGUCGAAGUUCGAGGCAACCCAUAGACAGAAUGUUACGCUACACUUCGACAUAGAUGAAGUGGAGAAAGCAGAUCCAGUGAAGAUUACUUUUAAACAAGACAACCAGGAAGAGACCAGUGUUAUUGCACAGCACCCUUGGACCUACGAGGAAACCCCUCCACCUGGAGUUUCACUGCUGGUUGAGGAAGGACGCGUGUCUGUAACCAUUCAGAAUGUUAACAGCUCCAGAUCAGGACUCUAUACAGCACAAGCCUUCUUUGGAAAGGACACGUAUGAGGUGAAUGCUACGCUUGUUGUCAACGAAGCAUCAUUUUCCUCCACUAUAACGCCACCACGCUCCUCCACCCCAAAACCUCUCAAAAACUCAUCUCAACUCCUCUGGCUAUGUGCAUUAAUUCCUCUCGUCAUCUCAGGGGGUUGUUUACGUCUGUAAAUGCCGGAGG
This is a long non-coding RNA of Ctenopharyngodon idella (grass carp), 846 nucleotides long. RefSeq lists it as uncharacterized. The transcript has 4 exons. The record is from RefSeq and is a predicted model, not a curated record. NCBI's taxonomy places the organism in Eukaryota, Metazoa, Chordata, Actinopteri, Cypriniformes, Xenocyprididae.